Molecule: ribosomal RNA, 434 nt
Filed under: uncultured Roseburia sp.
Lineage: Bacteria; Bacillati; Bacillota; Clostridia; Lachnospirales; Lachnospiraceae
Description: partial 16S ribosomal RNA
Rfam family: Bacterial small subunit ribosomal RNA
Source: RNAcentral
ACGGGAGGCAGCAGUGGGGAAUAUUGGGCAAUGGGCGAAAGCCUGAUGCAGCGACGCCGCGUGAGCGAUGAAGUAUUUCGGUAUGUAAAGCUCUAUCAGCAGGGAAGAUAAUGACGGUACCUGACUAAGAAGCCCCGGCUAACUACGUGCCAGCAGCCGCGGUAGUACGUAGGGGGCAAGCGUUAUCCGGAUUUACUGGGUGUAAAGGGAGCGCAGGCGGUUUUUUAAGUCUGAUGUGAAAGCCCGUGGCUCAACUGCGGGACUGCAUUGGAAACUGGAUAACUAGAGUGUCGGAGGGGCAAGUGGAAUUCCUAGUGUAGCGAUGAAAUGCGUAGAUAUUAGGAGGAACACCAGUGGCGAAGGCGGCUUGCUGGACGAUAACUGACGCUGAGGCUCGAAAGCGUGGGGAGCAAACAGGAUUAGAUACCCUGGUA